UACGUAGGGGGCAAGCGUUGUCCGGAAUCAUUGGGCGUAAAGAGCGUGUAGGCGGCCCUGUAAGUCCGCUGUGAAAGUCGGGGGCUCAACCCUCGAAUGCCGGUGGAUACUGUCGGGCUAGAGUGCGGAAGAGGCGAGUGGAAUUCCUGGUGUAGCGGUGAAAUGCGCAGAUAUCAGGAGGAACACCAAUUGCGAAGGCAGCUCGCUGGGACGUAACUGACGCUGAGACGCGAAAGCGUGGGGAGCGAACAGG
RNAcentral lists this ribosomal RNA (253 nucleotides) under uncultured bacterium. RNAcentral describes it as "partial 16S ribosomal RNA". It matches the Rfam family "Bacterial small subunit ribosomal RNA", at positions 524 to 776 of the family's 1533-position model. The record is from RNAcentral.